UUUGAAGUUAAGGUUGUGUUUGUUUAUAAGAUAUAUUUACAAAAUCAAGUAAAGGAAUUUUUAAUUUGAUAUAACAUAAAAUACACUGUUUGUUGAAUGACUUGGGUUAUUUCAAAGGAGCAAACAUUAUUUUAGAUAAGAUUUUUAUAAAAAGUUGAAUAAGUGACUUUUACAUUCAGCUGAUUAUUAAAAGGAGUAGGUUCAGUAAGACCCCUUUUUGGCCCCAAAAUAUAGCAGUUUUACAAAAUUGUUAAAAUGUAAACUUUUGGAAAGUAGACUGCUUCUGUUACAUAAACAUGGGCUGUUUUUGACAUUACAAUGCACAUAUAUUGUGUACUAGCAUCAUUAAGUGCUAAAUUACUGAAAUCUUCACAAUUUUAGCAUUUUAGUUUAAUUUUAGACGGUUUCCGUCUGAAAUGAAAGUGGCCACUUUUGUGUUCAUUCAUAUUAUUGAAAUGUAAGUUGUAUUUGAUGAUAAUACAUAACAUAUAUAAAGGUGUGAGGAUGAACACGAGAUGCGGCCACUUUCAUUUUUGGCAAAAACCAUCUAAAAAGUGACAUUUUUUGGCAUAUUUGAUAGAUUUUUCAUAUUUAAGUUUGAAUCGGAGCGUUUUUAAUGACUAAAUCAGUUUAAAAUCUUGUACAUUAACUAAUUGAAUAAUGUUUAAAAAGUGUCCAAAAUCUUUCGUCAGACUCCUUUCAUUAAUAUCUAGAAUUAUGAAACAUUUACAUACAAAUUAGACAUUUAUCAUUCUGUUGUUAUCAGCAAAUAUAAAAUUGUACUUUUUUUGUGGGAACAUAAACAAAAAACUCCACCAUCUACUUAUCAUUUGAAAAUAAAACCAGAAAUAUCAGGUAGAUUUAAAAUUUAUCAAUAAAACAUUGUUUUUUUCUAGCUGAACAACUUAAUAAAACCAUGACAUGUAUAUAUUCAGUGUACUGCUUUAUAACUAACUAUUGUAAUGUUUUAUAGGUUGGGGACUCUGUAUCCUGACCUUAGGACCUUAGGUUUGCAUCAUUGGUUAGGUCAAUAUUAUAAUUAAAAUGUUGUUGGUUUUUUUUUUGGGGGGGGGGGGGGGGGGGGGUGAUGCUGUUUCUUAAGUUUAAAUUUUUUUUUAAAUGCAAUUUUCUGUUGAAAAAUAUUACAUUAUUUGUUAAUAAAGGAUUACUCUAAGGAUUUUUAUGAUAACUCAAUAACAUUAAAUUUAAAAAAAAACUUCAAUGGUCAAUACACCGUCUUCAACAGCAGAUCAUUAGAAAUUUCUUAACUUAUGUUCCAUGAUUCUUUCUGUAUAUCUUGAUUCAAUAUGUUUGUACUAAAAUAGUAUGCCUGUAGGGAGAAGUUGUUGGGAACAAACAGGGAUCUAUUAUUAGUUUUUAUUUGACCUCAGAUUUUAUUAAUCUGACUGUUACUUGAUCUCAGUUUGUUGAUUAUAAGUGAAAUAGUAUAUGACCUGUUAACAAUUUUAUAGAGAGGGAUCUUUUUUAUAAAUGUAGAUUUGAUUAUUUUAGAUUUUUUACUCCAUUGUAAAUAUUGUCCAUACACAUGAAAAUAGGAAUGAUAAUGUUUAAUAUUUAAAUUGUACAUAGAUAAUAUAUUAUAUGUAAAUGAAAAGUGUAUAUAGAUCAACAAAGAUAUAUAUGUUUUAAA
Molecule: long non-coding RNA, 1651 nt
Filed under: Mytilus galloprovincialis (Mediterranean mussel)
Lineage: Eukaryota; Metazoa; Mollusca; Bivalvia; Mytilida; Mytilidae
Source: RNAcentral